GGAAAAACAGCACCAAGAAAGCCUCCAAGCUUCCGACAGACCCUGUGUGGCAGAAAUAUUAAAACCCAGCCUGAUAGACCACACUGGUGGACAGCGACUCCUGGCCGGGUCCCAGGUACCUUACAUAACAGAUUAACUGGGGGUCAUUGGCCCUGGAGCGGAGAACUGGGGGCGCUGCCACUGAUGUAAGGGCCGGGUGAGCAGGAGCCCUGACGCAGAGAGAGGGGCAUGCCCGGGGGGCGGGCCGCGGAGGGCGGGCGGCGGCUCACCUCGGUGGCGCGGCAGGUACACCUGGAGGUCGGGCUUGCGGGGCCGCGUGGGCGCGGGCGUGUGGCGCCUCCUCACCUUCUCCUUGGCCGCCUGCUUCACCUUCUUGUCGUAGUCGUCCCUGCGGGGAGCCGAGCGGGAGUCAGGCGCUGACACCCGGCCGAAUCGGGCCGGGCCGGGCCUGGGGCGGGGCGGUACCGAGCGAUCUGGUUCCGACGGAUGUGGUGUACGAAGCCGUGGCUCAUGUCCAGACGCCCGCCGGGCUUGCAGCACAACCCCGGGCCGUGAUCCCGGGCCGCCUCCAUUCGUAUCCUGGGUGCAGAACCGCCGUAACUGCCACAAGGGCCGCGGAAUUAGGGCCCUCGGCUGUGGACCAUGACUUCCGGCCACCGACCUCGGCUUCCGGCUCCAAUGCCCUUUUUCCGGUUGCGUAGGGGCGGGCGCAGCGGAGCGGAGAUGCUUUUCGAAAUUUGAGAACCUUGAUCUGUGGAGCGCUGGUAGAGCUGGAGGUUCGCUUACUUUGUGGUGUCGCCUGAACGAAAGAAGGAUUAUAUAGCUAAUACCAGGAAAUUAUUUUAAAAAAUUCGAGUCAUCCACGACUACUGAAAAUGCAUUCUAUUAGUCUAGAGAUGUUAGCUUUCUUUUUCUAGCCCUUUAGUAUAAUAAACUUCACUAUGAGAUCAAA
RNAcentral lists this long non-coding RNA (952 nucleotides) under Mus pahari (shrew mouse). RNAcentral describes it as "predicted gene 45051 (MGP_PahariEiJ_G0002942.1)". Lineage: Eukaryota; Metazoa; Chordata; Mammalia; Rodentia; Muridae. The record is from RNAcentral.